UACGGAGGGUGCGAGCGUUAUCCGGAUUCACUGGGUUUAAAGGGUGCGUAGGUGGGCAGGUAAGUCAGUGGUGAAAUCUCCGGGCUUAACCCGGAAACUGCCAUUGAUACUAUCAGUCUUGAAUACCGUGGAGGUAAGCGGAAUAUGUCAUGUAGCGGUGAAAUGCUUAGAUAUGACAUAGAACACCGAUAGCGGAGGCAGCUUGCUACACAGUCAUUGACACUGAGGCACGAAAGCGUGGGGAUCAAACAGG
RNAcentral lists this ribosomal RNA (253 nucleotides) under uncultured bacterium. RNAcentral describes it as "partial 16S ribosomal RNA". It matches the Rfam family "Bacterial small subunit ribosomal RNA", at positions 524 to 776 of the family's 1533-position model. The record is from RNAcentral.